This 432-nucleotide ribosomal RNA is filed under the name uncultured bacterium. RNAcentral's name for it is "bacterial SSU rRNA". It matches the Rfam family "Bacterial small subunit ribosomal RNA", at positions 200 to 651 of the family's 1533-position model. The record is from RNAcentral.
ACCAAAGAUUUAUCGCCCAAGGAUGAGCCCGCGUAGGAUUAGGUAGUUGGUGGGGUAAAGGCCUACCAAGCCGACGAUCCUUAGCUGGUCUGAGAGGAUGAUCAGCCACACUGGGACUGAGACACGGCCCAGACUCCUACGGGAGGCAGCAGUGGGGAAUAUUGGACAAUGGGGGAAACCCUGAUCCAGCAAUGCCGCGUGAGUGAUGAAGGCCUUAGGGUCGUAAAGCUCUUUUACCAGGGAUGAUAAUGACAGUACCUGGAGAAUAAGCUCCGGCUAACUCCGUGCCAGCAGCCGCGGUAAUACGGAGGGAGCUAGCGUUGUUCGGAAUUACUGGGCGUAAAGCGCACGUAGGCGGUUAUUCAAAGUCAAAGGUGAAAGCCCSGGGCUCAACCCCGGAACUGCCUUUGAAACUAGAUGACUGGAAUCUUG